AUUCCAAUCGAACUCGGAGAUAGCUGGUUCUCCCCGAAAUAGCUUUAGGGCUAGCGUUAUCUUAGAUUACCGGAGGUAAAGCACUGAAUGGGCUAGGGGGCGAUAAGCUUACUGAACCCUAUCAAACUCUGAAUGCCGGAUAAUUGAUGGAUAGCAGUCAGACAGUGUGAGAUAAGUUUCAUUGUCAAAAGGGAAACAGCCCAGACCCACAGCUAAGGUCCCAAAUGUAUGCUAAGUGGAAAACGAUGUGGAGUUGCGAAAACAACCAGGAUGUUGGCUUAGAAGCAGCCACUCAUUAAAAGAGUGCGUAAUAGCUCACUGGUCGAGUGACUCUGCGCGGAAAAUAUAACGGGGCUAAGCAUACAACCGAAGCUUGGGAUUGUCUAAAGACAGUGGUAGGGGAGCGUCGUGUAUGGGGUGAAGUCGCAUCGGAAGGAGCGGUGGACUGUACACGAGUGAGAAUGCCGGAAUGAGUAGCGAGAAUUAUGUGGGAAUCAUAAUGGCCGAAAAUCUAAGGUUUCUUGGGGAAGGUUCGUCCGCCCAAGGUAAGCCGGGAGCUAAGGCGAGGCCGCAAGGCGUAGUCGAUGCACAUACGGUAAAGAUUCCGUAGCCGCCGAACUUUAAGUCAGAGGGACACUUGCAGAUAGCGGAACCCAGCCGUUGGUUGAGCUGGGCGAAAGGGACUGAAAUUAGUAGGGAAGUCCGCGAUGCUGAAAGGCGAGAAAAGCUCUGAUGGAUACUAAGGCGCCCGUACCGCAAACCGACACAGGUAGAUGAGGAGAGAAUCCUAAGGCCAACGGGAGAAGGGUUGUUAAGGAACUCGGCAAAUUGACCCCGUAACUUCGGAAGAAGGGGAGCCCCGAAAGGGGCCGCAGUGAAUAGGCCCAAGCAACUGUUUACCAAAAACACAGGUUUAUGCUAAAUCGAAAGAUGACGUAUAUGAGCUGACGCCUGCCCGGUGCCGGAAGGUUAAGAGGAGAGCUUAGAGGCAACUCGAAGGUUUGAAUUGAAGCCCCGGUAAACGGCGGCCGUAACUAUAACGGUCCUAAGGUAGCGAAAUUCCUUGUCAGGUAAGUUCUGACCCGCACGAAUGGCGUAAUGAUUUGGGCACUGUCUCGACAGCCCGCCCGGCGAAAUUGUAGUACUGGUGAAGAUGCCAGUUACCCGCAACUAGACGGAAAGACCCCAUGGAGCUUUACUGCAGUUUAAUACUGGGAAUCGGUAAUGCAUGUACAGGAUAGGUGGGAGACUUGGAAGCAUAGUCGUCAGGCUAUGUGGAGUCACCGGUGGGAUACCACUCUUGUAUUGCUGGUUUCCUAACCUGCGGCCGUGAAUCCGGUCGGGGGACACUGUUAGACGGGCAGUUUGACUGGGGCGGUCGCCUCCAAAAGAGUAACGGAGGCGCUCAAAGGUUCGUUCAGCACGGACGGAAAUCGUGCAUUGAGUGUAAACGCAUAAACGAGCCUAACUGCGAGACCGACGGGUCGAGCAGUAACGAAAGUUGGAGUUAGUGAUCCGGUGGUAUGUGAGUGGAAAUGCCAUCGCUCAACGGAUAAAAGCUACCCUGGGGAUAACAGGCUGAUCUCCCCCAAGAGUCCACAUCGACGGGGAGGUUUGGCACCUCGAUGUCGGCUCAUCGCAUCCUGGGGCUGAAUUCGGUCCCAAGGGUUUGGCUGUUCGCCAAUUAAAGCGGUACGCGAGCUGGGUUCAGAACGUCGUGAGACAGUUCGGUCCCUAUCUGUCGUGGGCGCAGGAUAUUUGAAAGGCGCUGUCCCUAGUACGAGAGGACCGGGAUGGACGAACCUCUGGUGCACCAGUUGUCACGCCAGUGGCACAGCUGGGCAGCUAUGUUCGGAUCGGAUAAACGCUGAAAGCAUCUAAGCGUGAAGCCGGCCUUAAGAUAAGAUAUCCCACUGAGUCAAUCAGGUAAGACCCCUUGAAGACUACAAGGUUGAUAGGCACACAGUGUAAGCGGAGUGAUCCGUUCAGCUAGCGUGUACUAAUAGGUCGAGGGCUUGACCCC
Molecule: ribosomal RNA, 2023 nt
Filed under: human gut metagenome
Description: bacterial LSU rRNA
Rfam family: Bacterial large subunit ribosomal RNA
Source: RNAcentral